This 825-nucleotide ribosomal RNA is filed under the name Psychrobacter sp. RNAcentral's name for it is "bacterial SSU rRNA". It matches the Rfam family "Bacterial small subunit ribosomal RNA", at positions 69 to 890 of the family's 1533-position model. The record is from RNAcentral. Lineage: Bacteria; Pseudomonadati; Pseudomonadota; Gammaproteobacteria; Moraxellales; Moraxellaceae.
ACAGGAGAAGCUUGCUUCUCGCUGACGAGCGGCGGACGGGUGAGUAAUACUUAGGAAUCUACCUAGUAGUGGGGGAUAGCACGGGGAAACUCGUAUUAAUACCGCAUACGACCUACGGGAGAAAGGGGGCAGUUUACUGCUCUCGCUAUUAGAUGAGCCUAAGUCGGAUUAGCUAGAUGGUGGGGUAAAGGCCUACCAUGGCGACGAUCUGUAGCUGGUCUGAGAGGAUGAUCAGCCACACCGGGACUGAGACACGGCCCGGACUCCUACGGGAGGCAGCAGUGGGGAAUAUUGGACAAUGGGGGAAACCCUGAUCCAGCCAUGCCGCGUGUGUGAAGAAGGCCUUUUGGUUGUAAAGCACUUUAAGCAGUGAAGAAGACUCCAUGGUUAAUACCCAUGGACGAUGACAUUAGCUGCAGAAUAAGCACCGGCUAACUCUGUGCCAGCAGCCGCGGUAAUACAGAGGGUGCAAGCGUUAAUCGGAAUUACUGGGCGUAAAGGGAGCGUAGGUGGCUCUAUAAGUCAGAUGUGAAAUCCCCGGGCUUAACCUGGGAACUGCAUCUGAAACUGUAGAGCUAGAGUAUGUGAGAGGAAGGUAGAAUUCCAGGUGUAGCGGUGAAAUGCGUAGAGAUCUGGAGGAAUACCGAUGGCGAAGGCAGCCUUCUGGCAUAAUACUGACACUGAGGCUCGAAAGCGUGGGUAGCAAACAGGAUUAGAUACCCUGGUAGUCCACGCCGUAAACGAUGUCUACUAGUCGUUGGGUCCCUUGAGGACUUAGUGACGCAGCUAACGCAAUAAGUAGACCGCCUGGGGAGUACGGCCGCA